Molecule: ribosomal RNA, 1078 nt
Filed under: Arthrobacter flavus
Lineage: Bacteria; Bacillati; Actinomycetota; Actinomycetes; Micrococcales; Micrococcaceae
Description: bacterial SSU rRNA
Rfam family: Bacterial small subunit ribosomal RNA
Source: RNAcentral
UGCAGUCGAACGAUGAACCUCACUUGUGGGGGGAUUAGUGGCGAACGGGUGAGUAACACGUGAGUAACCUGCCCUUGACUCUGGGAUAAGCCUGGGAAACCGGGUCUAAUACUGGAUACGACCUUCCCGCGCAUGCGGUGUUGGUGGAAAGCUUUUGUGGUUUUGGAUGGACUCGCGGCCUAUCAGCUUGUUGGUGGGGUAAUGGCCUACCAAGGCGACGACGGGUAGCCGGCCUGAGAGGGUGACCGGCCACACUGGGACUGAGACACGGCCCAGACUCCUACGGGAGGCAGCAGUGGGGAAUAUUGCACAAUGGGCGCAAGCCUGAUGCAGCGACGCCGCGUGAGGGAUGAAGGCCUUCGGGUUGUAAACCUCUUUCAGUAGGGAAGAAGCCGGCUUUUUGGGUUGGUGACGGUACCUGCAGAAGAAGCGCCGGCUAACUACGUGCCAGCAGCCGCGGUAAUACGUAGGGCGCAAGCGUUAUCCGGAAUUAUUGGGCGUAAAGAGCUCGUAGGCGGUUUGUCGCGUCUGCCGUGAAAGUCCGGGGCUUAACUCCGGAUCUGCGGUGGGUACGGGCAGACUAGAGUGCAGUAGGGGAGACUGGAAUUCCUGGUGUAGCGGUGAAAUGCGCAGAUAUCAGGAGGAACACCGAUGGCGAAGGCAGGUCUCUGGGCUGUAACUGACGCUGAGGAGCGAAAGCAUGGGGAGCGAACAGGAUUAGAUACCCUGGUAGUCCAUGCCGUAAACGUUGGGCACUAGGUGUGGGGGACAUUCCACGUUUUCCGCGCCGUAGCUAACGCAUUAAGUGCCCCGCCUGGGGAGUACGGCCGCAAGGCUAAAACUCAAAGGAAUUGACGGGGGCCCGCACAAGCGGCGGAGCAUGCGGAUUAAUUCGAUGCAACGCGAAGAACCUUACCAAGGCUUGACAUGAACCGGAAUGAUGCAGAGAUGUGUCAGCCACUUGUGGCCGGUUUACAGGUGGUGCAUGGUUGUCGUCAGCUCGUGUCGUGAGAUGUUGGGUUAAGUCCCGCAACGAGCGCAACCCUCGUUCCAUGUUGCCAGCGGGUUAUGCCGGGGA